CCACAAACCAACCAGCUUGUUUCUCUUCGGUUAGAUUCGAAGGCGCUUAUUCGCUACUAUUUGGAUUAUUCAGUUUUUGGGCUCUCAGGCCUUGCAAAGCAACAUGGGUGGGCAAAGAAUGAGAAAGGAGAUCAAGAAAAGAAAAUGGGUGGUGUCGAAAAGGUUGUCCAAGCAGCUGUCACUUUAGAGAAAGGAAUAUUGCUCUUUUACAGCUGAAGUAUACUGACCUUUACAACCAACAAACGGAAGAGGAAAAGCAACAAAAAAGAUGCCCACACUUUCAUCAUGCAUGUUCCCAUUUUCUGAGAAAGCAAAAGUAAAAAAAAAAGAAAAAAAAAGGGAAAAGAUGACUGGAGAUGGAGAAAAGCUGAGGAGGAAAUGGAAAGCAUGGCACACCCAUACCCAUUGUCAUUGAUGAAUAUUUUAUUAAGUUGUUUUCUGCAAACUGGAGCAAUUAUUAUAUAGUUAUACUGAUGUGUAAAGAAGGCAGCAUGCCCAAAAAAAAAAGGGCUGGAAUGUUAUGUGGAGGGCGAAAACCCAUAUGCCCAAAAGAGCUAGGCCUUAUGGCUUCAAACUCCAAUUUUCAUCCCUUCAAUUAAGGUUCACCCUAUAUUAUCACCAACCAGGUGAUCAAAAGUACGUCCAGUCCUCUAAAAUUAUUCGGCAGCUACCACUAUUAUCACCAACCAGGUGAUCAAAAGUACGUCCAAUACUCCAAAAUUAUUUGGCAGCCUGCCGCUAUUAUCACCAACCAGGUGAUCAAAAGUACGUCCAGUACUUCAAAAUUAUACAUGAUCAUCACUCAUGUCAAUCAUACAGAAACAUUCAUGAGCAUCACUUAUGUCAACAUUCAUAAGCAUCACUCAUAUCAACAUUCAUGAGCAUCACUCAUGUCAAUCAGAUUCGAAAGCUUCAUUUACAGAGCUCUAGCUUCGAGAGCUCUAUUUACAAGAGCUCCAGCUUUGAAAGCUUCAUUUACAAAAGCUCCGACUUCAAAGCUUCAUUUACAAAAGCUUCAGCUUCAAAGCUUCACUUUCAAAGCUUCACUUUCAAAGCUUCACCUACAAAGCUUCAGUGCAUGGUAUACAAAGACCGCCUCCGAACAACCGCCUCCGAACAACCGCCACUUCAACCCAUACAUGGAUUGAAUUUGAAGUCUCCAGCCAACAACCUCUAUUGACUGAAGACUUGGGGGACUACACUAUGUACCAUAUAUUGGGCUUCCGCAACUGGGCCUCAUGAAAAAUAUUUGGGGGACUUAGGCCAUUAUUUAUGUACUAAGGAGCGAACCCUUAUUUUAUAAAAGGGACUCCCUCACUUUCAUUAGAGAGCACCCAUUAUUUAUGUACUGAGGAGCGAACCCUUAUUCUAUAAAAGAGACUCCUUCACUUUCAUUAAAGAGCACC
RNAcentral lists this long non-coding RNA (1406 nucleotides) under Malus domestica (apple). RNAcentral describes it as "long non-coding RNA (MDOM_LNC001683)". Lineage: Eukaryota; Viridiplantae; Streptophyta; Magnoliopsida; Rosales; Rosaceae. The record is from RNAcentral.